Molecule: ribosomal RNA, 509 nt
Filed under: uncultured bacterium
Lineage: Bacteria
Description: bacterial SSU rRNA
Rfam family: Bacterial small subunit ribosomal RNA
Source: RNAcentral
AUUGAACGCUGGCGGAAUGCUUUACACAUGCAGGUCGAGCGGCAGCGCGGGGGCAACCCUGGCGGCGAGCGGCGAACGGGUGAGUAAUAUAUCGGAACGUACCCCGUCGUGGGGGAUAACACAGCGAAAGCUGUGCUAAUACCGCAUACGACCUGAGGGUGAAAGCGGGGGAUCGCAAGACCUCGCGCGAUGGGAGCGGCCGAUAUCGGAUUAGCUUGUUGGUGAGGUAAAGGCUCACCAAGGCGACGAUCCGUAGCUGGUCUGAGAGGACGACCAGCCACACUGGAACUGAGACACGGUCCAGACUCCUACGGGAGGCAGCAGUGGGGAAUUUUGGACAAUGGGGGCAACCCUGAUCCAGCCAUUCCGCGUGAGUGAAGAAGGCCUUCGGUUGUAAAGCUCUUUCUAGCAGGAACGAAACGGUAGGCCGACCUAAUAACUGGCUACUAAUGACGGUAACCUGAAGAAGAAGCACCGGCUAACUACGUGCCAGCAGCCGCGUAAAACGG